Molecule: ribosomal RNA, 492 nt
Filed under: uncultured bacterium
Lineage: Bacteria
Description: partial 16S ribosomal RNA
Rfam family: Bacterial small subunit ribosomal RNA
Source: RNAcentral
AGUGAACGCUGGCGGUAGGCCUAACACAUGCAAGUCGAACGGCAGCACAGUAAGAGCUUGCUCUUACGGGUGGCGAGUGGCGGACGGGUGAGGAAUACAUCGGAAUCUACUUUUUCGUGGGGGAUAACGUAGGGAAACUUACGCUAAUACCGCAUACGACCUACGGGUGAAAGCAGGGGAUCUUCGGACCUUGCGCGAUUGAAUGAGCCGAUGUCGGAUUAGCUAGUUGGCGGGGUAAAGGCCCACCAAGGCGACGAUCCGUAGCUGGUCUGAGAGGGUGAUCAGCCACACUGGAACUGAGACACGGUCCAGACUCCUACGGGAGGCAGCAGUGGGGAAUAUUGGACAAUGGGCGCAAGCCUGAUCCAGCCACACCGCGUGAGUGAAGAAGGCCUUCGGGUUGUAAAGCCCUUUUGUUGGGAAAGAACAGCAGCAGGUUAAUCCCCCGCUGUUCUGACGGUACCCAAAGAAUAAGCCCCGGCUAACUUCGUG